CCCCAGCUGGCUCAGUUGGUAGAGCAUGGGACUCUUGAUCUCGGGGUUGGGAGUUCAAGUCCCACUUUGGGUG
RNAcentral lists this transfer RNA (73 nucleotides) under Ailuropoda melanoleuca (giant panda). It matches the Rfam family "tRNA". From Rfam's summary of the family: Transfer RNA (tRNA) molecules are approximately 80 nucleotides in length. The record is from Rfam by way of RNAcentral. Lineage: Eukaryota; Metazoa; Chordata; Mammalia; Carnivora; Ursidae.